This is a long non-coding RNA of Chenopodium quinoa (quinoa), 533 nucleotides long. RefSeq lists it as uncharacterized. NCBI's taxonomy places the organism in Eukaryota, Viridiplantae, Streptophyta, Magnoliopsida, Caryophyllales, Amaranthaceae. The transcript has 3 exons. The record is from RefSeq and is a predicted model, not a curated record.
UCUCUGUAAAAUUCUCAGCUUUCUCCCUCUCCUCAGUUCAACAGGUUGGCGAAAGUUCAUCAAAUUCAUCACGAUAUUUUCACAGAUUUUGGAUUAAUUAUUUUGACAACAAUUAUCCAAGAGAUGCUUCGUCUGUACCCACCAGGAGUAUUAAGAUGCCAGGCUAAAAGAGAUUCAAGUUCCAAAAGGACUCAUUCAUUCGGGCUCGCAGCUAUCACAAAGAAUCCACGGCACCCUCCUGGGUUUACUUAUGCGUGGGAUGUAUUCAACCACCUAAAGGGAAGAGGAAGAACACAUCAAGAUGCACAUGAUAAAGUGAUAAUGAGUUAAUGACAUAUACAAAGCUAAAUAUUUAGACAUGUUAUUACUGUCAUGAAUCUUAUGAUUGUCUAAAUUUUCAAUCUAAACCUUGUCAAUGUCUUUCACUGGCAGAAAUUGAAGUCACAUGAUGUAAACUUGAACAUGACCGGUCUCUUAUUGUCCAACAAUUGCUGAUAUUAUUUUUAAUUUAAUUUGAUACAUUUUUUUUGAAA